CCAUAUAGAAGGAAAAAGUAGUCUUCUCAACAAAUUGUGCUAAGACAACUGGCUAACCACAUGCCAAAGAAUGAAGGUAAGCCCCUGCCUAACAUGAUACACAAAAAUUAAUUCAACAUGGAUCAAGGACCUAAAUGUAAGAGCUAAAACUAUAAAAUUCUUAGAGGGCCAGGUAUGGUGGCUCAUGCCUGUAACCCCAGCACUUUCGGAGGCCGAGGCCAGGAGGAUGGCUUUAGCCCAGAGUUAGCGACCAGCCUGAGCAACAUGGUGAUUCCUCAUCUCUACAAAAUAAAAACAAAAAGUUGGGUGUGGUGGUAUAUGCCUAUAGUCCCAGCUACUUGGGAGGCUGAGAUGGGAGGAUCGCUUGGGCCAGAGAGGUUGAGGCUGCAGUGAGCCGUGAUUUAACUCUGUUCUUGGACAGAGAAAUCAGCCUCCCAUUAAAUUCAAUAUAUUCACUUAUUUGAUUAUGCUUCCUGCAUGCAACCAGUUUCCCAUAUUCUCUUCCACCCUUCCCUACUUGAACUAUUCCAAAUCAUGUUUAAUUAAGGCAGAAGAGAAGCAAAAAACCAAAAGAAGGCAGACAGAAAGGACAUAUACUCUUUUUCUACUACCUAAAUAGUUCCUAGAUAUUUAUUACAGCAGGCCCUCAAUAAUAAUGUUAACAAAAUUCACUGGGGCAUUUCCACCUCUUACUAUCUUCUGAAAUGACAAUUAGUAAAUCAGCUACUGUUAAGACUCUCCAACUACAGUGACAUCUAGGUCAGAGCUCUGGUUUAGAAACCAAUCUUAAACAACAGACUCUCCUCCCAUCCAACCAUCAAGGGGCCCCAAGUGAUUAGGUAUAAGAAAACCACUCAGUAGAAAAACGUCUCAGCCAAGUGUGGUGGCUCACGCCUGUAAUCCCAGCACUUUGGGAGGCCGAGGGGGGCGGAUCACAAGGUCAGGAGUUUGAGACCAGCCUGGCCAAUAUGAUGAACCCCUGCCUCUACUGAAAAUACAAAAACUAGCUGGGCGUGGUAUGGGUCCCUGUAGUCCCAGCUACUAGGGAGGCUGAGGCAGGGGAACUGCUUGAACCCAGGAGGUAGAGGUUGCAGUGAGCUGAGAUUGCGCCACUGCACUCCAGCCUGGGCAACAUGGUGAAACCCCAUCUCUACCAAAAAUAGAAAAAUUAGGCAGGUAUGGUGGUGUGCACCUGUAAUCCCAGCUACUCAAGAGGCUGAGGCUGGGGAAUCACUUGAACCCGGGAGGUGGAGGCUACAGUGAGCCAAGAUUGUGCCACUGCACUCCAGCCUGGGCGAUAGAGCAAGACCCUGUCUCAAAGAAAAAAAAAAAAAAGCAAAUUCAUUAAUUCAUUUAAAAAGCAAUAAGAAGUAUGGGGGUGUAGUUUCCCAGAUGUACUCUUUUGAAGUCCCUCACUGUUUAACAAUUAAAAUAUAAACCAGAGCCCAAAAUUCGUGUCAAAGAGAGAAUCAAAUGGUUGGUACUAUGAUGUACUGUGUCCUUGUGUGCCUCUGAGAUAAAUUAUUAUUUCUAGGCCUCAGUUUCCUUAUUUAUAAAAUGAGGAUGCUCAGUGAGAUCAGUGGCUCCCAGAAUGUGAGACUGGCUACACUGAAUCACUUGAAGGACACAUUAAAAUAUCUGAUUCCCAUUGCAGAUCCACUGAACCAGAUUCUUUGGGUAUUUUUAACAGGUUCUUCAGGUGAUGAUGAUAUAAAGAUAGGCUGGCAACCAUCUGACUAAACGAUGUUUAAGUUCCCAUCUUGUGCCAUACUAAAACUAUUCACUGAACUUUUUAUAUAUUGUCUAUAAUCUCAGAACAGCCUUUUUUUUUUUUUUGCUACCUCCCUGUUGGUGGAGAUACUCAUAACAGCCUUGAAAGACACGUAUAUUACUGUCACAGUUCUUUUUUUUGAGACAGAGUCUCGCUCUGUCGCCCAGGCUGGAGUGCAGUGGUGCAAUCUCUGCAAGCUCCACCUCCCGGGUGCACACCAUUCUCCUGCCUCAGCCUCCCAAGCAACUGGAACUACAGGUGCCCGCCAUCACGCCCGGCUUAUUUUUUGUAUUUUUAGUAGAGACGGGGUUUCACCGUGUUAGCCAGGAUGGUCUUGAUCUCUUGACCUCGUGAUCCACCCGCCUCGGCCUCCCAAAGUGCUGGGAUUACAGGCGUAAGCCACAGCACCCGGCCUAUUUCAAGUAACAAUUUAUUCUAUGGUUCUAUUAUUAUUCUGUAGGGUAAUUAAAACUUGUAUUAAAUGUUUUAUUUUAAAUGGGGAAAAAUUUCAAGUGUGUUAUGGGAGAUGACUGCUAAAAUUAAGUUUUGCACAGGAAGCUAGAGUACAAGUGGCAAGGCAAGAUAAGGUUCACAUCACAUCACCUCAGAAACUGGAACACGGAGAGACAAUACCCACCUUAACUGUGCCAUCGUCACUGCCAGUGCAGACAAGCUGAGGGCCUCUCCUGGCUGGAUAACAGGAAUUCACAAAGGAAGUAUGUCCCUUUAGCCUUUUAACCCUCUCACCUGUUUCACUAUCCCACACAGCCACGGUUUUAUCUGUGGAUGCUGAGAAAAGCAUACUAGAAAGUAAGAGAAAGAAUAAAAAAGAAAUAAGUGAAGAUAAACAGUAACAAUCUAUCUUUCCUACUUGACAAAAGGUGCCAAAUUUUUCAAGAUCACUGACCUGCUGUGCUACGCCAGUUUGCCCAUGAUGCUGGAAUGCCUCACCCUACCAAAAUCCUAUUUG
RNAcentral lists this long non-coding RNA (2741 nucleotides) under Homo sapiens (human). RNAcentral's name for it is "HSALNT0004216". Lineage: Eukaryota; Metazoa; Chordata; Mammalia; Primates; Hominidae. The record is from RNAcentral.